Molecule: long non-coding RNA, 2918 nt
Organism: Parus major (Great Tit)
Lineage: Eukaryota; Metazoa; Chordata; Aves; Passeriformes; Paridae
Exons: 3
Source: RefSeq, a predicted model, not a curated record
UCGCCCGAGCGGCGGCCGCGAGGGACGCGGGCCCGGGACGUUUAAAGGGCAAAUUAAAGUUAUCUGGUGCCUGCUGGGAACCGCGGUGUCAGAGCAUGUGCCCGCUGUAUUUAUAGCUCCCGGGAGGCACCGGAGGGAGCGUGGGGAGCUGGCAGGAGCGGUUCAGGCCGUACUAAGCGUUCCGUGCGGGCGAGAGGCAGCGGCUGAGGGCUGAAAGGCUCCCCGGAGCGGUCUGACAGUGCCACCGGCCAGCUGAGAGUGCGUUAAGCCUUGCCCUCAUGUGCGUGGGCUCACGCAGAGAGGGGCGACAUGGAUGUCGUGCCCAACAACAAAGCUCCCCAGGGAUGCACUGCCAGCCUGGAAGGCGGUGCUGUGUUCAUAGGCAUCAGUGACCAGGACUGGACCUCUCUUGAGUCAAGGCCAGAGAGCUGCUUCAUGCUGUACGCACCGUGUGGAACUUGCAGGCAUUGAGGUCUUUAAAUACCCCAGCAUGCUCUGGGACUCGGCUUUCCCGAGGAGGAGACAACAUGCCUUUCUGCAUUGUACCCUCAUUUCACCCCUGCAAGGUCUGGUGUCUCCUCUUUUCAUGGGAAAGCAAACACCCCUUUAACACCCCCAGGCUUCUGCUGCUGGUUUCACACAGACCUCCGGCUAGUGAUGCUCAAAGCUGCUGCCUGACUACACAGAUUGACAAGGUGUGCACUCAGGUGUCAGCUCUUCUGACUGGUGUAUGUUCACUGCCAGAGAUAUGCUUCUCAUGGUGUUCACCAGAUCUCUUGGAAGGUGUGACAGCUGUGAACAGUAUCAGCAAUGCCUGGGCAGGUGUGUGAUCAGAACAAAGCCAAGCUAUGGCUGAAGCCUUCUUUAUGUUCUGUAAGACACAACUUUCUCUUCAAAUGUGUUUUAUGUCCUGAUCAGGAAAUAAAGUUCUUCACUGAGCUCUCUGCUUACCUAGUGGGGUUUUUAAAAAUGUUUAUCUGUUUCGUAAACUGGAGAAAUGCUGGAUUGUGUGAAUGCAGAAUUCAGAUGCACCUGCUGAAGUUCCAUGACCUAGAAAAUAGGUCUGAUUUCUUUUCAGAGCUUGGCAAAACAAAGCUAUUAAAAAGUGAAAGUAUUAAUAUAGACUUAUUUGACCUGAAAUUUACAAUAUGCUCUUCUUCAGAAAAUCUGGGUUGGGAGAAUGUCUAGUAUGACAUUCUUCCCAGCUCUCUUUGCGUAGUGCAACAUUCUUUACAUCAUUCAUGCAAUAUCCUGUGUGAUGACUCUCAUGUUCAGCUUUCCAUAGCUCUGGUGACUCUUGCAUAAUUUUUAAUUGCCUGCCUCUUCUUAGAGUUGUAGGGACUUAUUCUUUCUUAUUAGGUCCACAUAAACCAGUAAUUACCAUUUUAAAUCAUUGAUACAACAUUUGUACAAGUCAGAGUAUAUGAGGAAAUCUCAUGUAGCGUUUUAAGUAGGGUUUUAUUUUCUAUUUUGCUCAAGCUUACUUUUCUAAAUAUUGUGUUAGUAUAAAUCUUAAUGGGAUAAUGCAAAUCUUUGCUCUAUUCAAUUCAAAUUGGUCUUUGCUCUUUUUGAUACAUCUUUUUAUCAUCAUUCAUGUUGCAGUAAUUUUGGAGUAUCAAAAAUUAUUGAAGUUGAUCUUUUUAUGUUAUGUUUGUUUUGUUUAUCUUUUGGUUUCUAUUUUCUAAGUUGUUUCUGUGUGUGAUUUUACUGUUCUAGGUAUUUUUAAAAUUCAUUGUUUCAGGCAAACAGAUUAGAAUUGUUAAAUUAUUUAAGUGAUUUAUUUGUUUUCCAUCUGCUGCUUCUGACAAUACAUCUGGUUAUAAUAUAAUAACUUUCUUUUAUUUAAAAAGUGUCAAUAUUGUUAGCCCUUGCUCAAGUUGUUACCUCUUUGUUUUCAGAUAUUUUGUAGAGUUUCUCAUGCUGUGAUUUUACUUGACUAGUCUUUCUUCUGUGAAAUAGUUCAUAAUAGUCCAUAAUUUUCUUGCUGACAGUAAUUUUUUUUCAUAUGUUGUAGGACAUUCUUUUUGACAGUAGUACAUAUUUAAUGGAAUCACAGCUUUGUGCACAGUCAGAUAACUGCAUUGCAAUAGCAAAACAAAGUAAUAAUAUUUUUAUAAUACAGAAACAAUUUCAUGCAUUAAAUGUAGAUGUAAUUUUUAUGCAUACUUUUACUAGCUAUUAGCACAACAGUUUUAAUAGAAUUUCAAGGUUUUUUUUGAGUAAGUAAGAAAUUAAUAAAUUGUGUUACUUAGUGAAGAGACAUCAAUUUUUUGUCACCCUACAUGCUGGUUGAAUAGGCCACAAUUACAUUGAUGUUAUAAUUUACAUUGUAUUGGUUACAAUACCAGAAAUGUGUUGGUUUUUUUUUUUUAAAUUGAAAUAUUAAUGUGUCUAUAUUUUGCAAGAAAAUGGCAAAUUAAGGUCAGUUCCAUGCCACACAUUAUUAAAAUGCAUGAACAAAAAAAAGGUCUGCUGGAAAGCCAAAAUCCCAGAAAUUGGAAUGCUGAUAUUGAAGAUGACAACUGCCCAGCUAAAGAGUGAGAAAACUGGGUGAGAAAGUCUUUAGAUGCCAGAGUUUAUGGUUUUUAUGGUAUCAAAACUCAUGUCCCUUCAUAGAGUAUUUCAGUGCUUCAGAACUCACUGUGGAAAAAAUCCCGUUUGAGUCCCAGGUCCAAAAAUGACUUUGAAUUUUCCCUGCUGAGCUGUUAUACUGGAUAUGAAAGGGAACAAAUUAUGGGGACAGAAGCAGAAGUCAGGAAACAAUUAGGUUACAUGGUAUAUUACCUCAGCUUGAUAAAAAAACCAAUCUGUAUUUCAUUCAUUCCUGGAGAAUGACUGCCAGUUUCUGAUUCACUGGGAAUUCAGUUUAAUACUUUCUUAUAAAUCUUAAGAAAUAAAUGAGAUAGUGUAUUAACAUA